CCUAAAAUCUUUUACUGAACCACUUUAUAUGCUCCCAUCACUUCUUCCACUUUUCAUGCUCCAGUCACUUCUUCUGCAGGUUUCGAUCAAAUGCGGAUCUCCUCUUCCCUUUUGAUUUUUCAAGUAUGUCUUAGAUUUGAAGUUGGGAAAAUAAUGGAAAGGUCGUUAAACGUUGUUCCUCUCAUUUUUCAGUUUAUAUGAGUCUAUAUGAAAGGUGUGUUAAAGGUUGUUCCUUUCAUAUACUACAAUUUU
Long non-coding RNA from Vicia villosa (hairy vetch), 252 nucleotides. RefSeq lists it as uncharacterized. The record is from RefSeq and is a predicted model, not a curated record. The transcript is spliced from 3 exons. Lineage: Eukaryota; Viridiplantae; Streptophyta; Magnoliopsida; Fabales; Fabaceae.